CAGCAUCCAUUGAUAGACCAUGAGCCCACUUAGUUGCUUUUUGGUUUGCACAGAGAUGCAAUAGAAACUUUCCUUGCGCUUUCUGCCUUGUCUGAUUCUUUGACUUGUCGGUUUGAAUAGAGGAAUACAUGC
Pelobates cultripes (western spadefoot toad) is the source of this 132-nucleotide non-coding RNA. The record is from the annotation of a GenBank genome assembly. NCBI's taxonomy places the organism in Eukaryota, Metazoa, Chordata, Amphibia, Anura, Pelobatidae.